AGCUUUAACUAUACGGACCCUUGUUGGCAAGGUGAUGUCUCUGCUUUUUACCUUGCCAACAAAGGUCCGUAUAAUUAAAGCU
Molecule: non-coding RNA, 82 nt
Organism: Podarcis lilfordi (Lilford's wall lizard)
Lineage: Eukaryota; Metazoa; Chordata; Lepidosauria; Squamata; Lacertidae
Source: the annotation of a GenBank genome assembly